GUGCUCGCUUUGGCAGCACAUAUAUUAAAAUUGGAAUGAUACAGAGAAGAUUAGCAUGGCCCCUGCACAAGGAUGACAUGCAAAUUCGUGAAGCGUUCCAUAUUUUU
Molecule: small nuclear RNA, 107 nt
Organism: Cavia aperea (Brazilian guinea pig)
Lineage: Eukaryota; Metazoa; Chordata; Mammalia; Rodentia; Caviidae
Source: Ensembl